UACGAAGGGGGCUAGCGUUGCUCGGAAUCACUGGGCGUAAAGCGCACGUAGGCAGAUUGUUAAGUCAGGGGUGAAAUCCUGGAGCUCAACUCCAGAACUGCCUUUGAUACUGGCGAUCUCGAGUCCGGGAGAGGUGAGUGGAACUGCGAGUGUAGAGGUGAAAUUCGUAGAUAUUCGCAAGAACACCAGUGGCGAAGGCGGCUCACUGGCCCGGUACUGACGCUGAGGUGCGAAAGCGUGGGGAGCAAACAGG
This 253-nucleotide ribosomal RNA is filed under the name uncultured bacterium. Its description in RNAcentral is "partial 16S ribosomal RNA". It matches the Rfam family "Bacterial small subunit ribosomal RNA", at positions 524 to 776 of the family's 1533-position model. The record is from RNAcentral.